This is a long non-coding RNA of Manis pentadactyla (Chinese pangolin), 2095 nucleotides long. RefSeq lists it as uncharacterized. Lineage: Eukaryota; Metazoa; Chordata; Mammalia; Pholidota; Manidae. The transcript is spliced from 2 exons. The record is from RefSeq and is a predicted model, not a curated record.
AAAAAGUAUAGCUCAAUGAAGACCUGGGAGGAAAUAAAAUAUAAAGCCUCCAGUGAUGUCCUUGAAAUAAUACUACCAAAGAAGAGAUGGCUUUAGGGUAGAGAGGCCUCCUCAUCCCCAGAGGUGGUCAAGGAAAGGCAGGGGUUCCAGGCUCUCAAGAAGACUGCAGAGAACAAAGGAAGAUUCUUUGAAAUAUUGAUUUCAAAUUUUGUUCAAAAUGUGAAAUCAAUGAUAUAUUAAUUCUAAAUAAUCCUCUACUCUGCUAGGUAAGUCUAUGGAAUCUGUCUUAUCCUCAUGGCUUCUACGCAUGAGAUAUGUCUAAAAAUCUCUUCCAAGUCCAAUCCAGAAUCAACACUUACAUAAAGCAGGAAGGAAAUAUAAGUGCUCUGGGUCAUUCCUUGACAGCAAUGACCAAAAUGGCAGUUACAGUGGUAUUUGUGUGAUUAGCUCUUUAAUGUCUCUUUCUUUCCAGGUUUUCUCAACUGGGGUUCCUCACCUAAACCACAGAACUCAGAAAAUGCAUAGCAAAUCAUUUUCUCAAUUACUCCAGGGAAUCUGACUUCAAGCAAUUGUAAGAGUUGUUUACCUAGUCUAUGUGAGGUUGUUAUUUGUAUGUCUAAAGUCUGUCGGAUGGGAAAUCAGUUAGGAAGGAUGGAAUGAACUGGGGAAAACAAGGUCAAUCUAGACCUUACAAGGCAAAACUGGAACUCAUCAUUGUCUUUCAGCAUCCCCAAGCCUCCAGCCUUGAGGAUGCAGUGUCCUGAAGGCAGAACUGGCUUCACAGAACUGUGAUCUAUGCAGUCCACUCAGGGCCCCUUGCUCAAAAGGAUCUCAUGCUUGGUUUAAUGCUAUUGUUGCCAUCUUGAAAUUCAAUGUUUGAACAAAAGGAAUUUUGUAUUUUCAUUUUACAGCCAGCCUCAGAAAUUAUGCAUCCAGAUAGCCUGUGAAAAGGCUGGUGACCCUCAUCAUGCACCUAGCUCAGGAGUUGGAAAAACAGAAGCAGAAGAUUCCGUUGUUGGCCCAUGCCGACCACAUUUGCCAGCAGAGUCACCAUUUUCAGUCCCAGUCCAGCCUAAACACUGAUUUUUGCCAACUGAUCACAUGGGCUCUCAGGAGAAAAUCCAUAACUAAGACGUGGAUGUCAAGUUAAUAAACCUGCAGAACACUAUUGUUAAAUUCCAUCAGGAUGAUGCAAGUUUACUAACUAGAACCCAUUUAUAAUUAUAGUAUUUGUCAAUAUAUUUGUCAUAACUAAAAUUCCAUUGUCAUUAAGCCACAUACUCUGGAAUAUUAAUCCAUGAUUGUUUCAUUUUAAGAAUACUAAAUGAAAGUAAAGAGACAUUUCAAAAUAAGGUUACAUGAUAAAAUUAAAUUUUAUGAAACAGUUUUAAGAUAUCAGAAUACUUUCUAUAACAAAACUUGAGUACAUAAUAUCCUCCUACAAUAAAAAAUAAUGAAAUUUCAAAGAGAAAAAGGCAGAAAUGAGUUACAUAAACACUCAACUUUGGGGAAGGAAAGGAAGGACAAAAGAUGAAAGAAAGGGGAAAAAAAAUCAACACAAAAGAGCAUUAGCUCUAAAAUCCUGUGCACAGACCUCCAGCUGUUUUUUCUUGACUUUAUUUUUAUAUGUGACCCUCAACAUAAUAUAAGCAUGGAAUUCAUUUCUUGGUACAACUCAUAAUUAAUUUACUCAAAAUAUUUCUAAUCAAUAUUUUCCAGGUAACUUUUUAACUCUCAUUUUAAUCGUUUAAACUUAAAGACAUAUGAAAAUGCAUUAAUAGUAUUUUUUAGCUGUGUUUAUAAAUAUAUAGAACAUAUUUAAGCUUUGAUUUUAGUGGUUCUAUGUCUUCUACUAGAUUUUAAGUUCCUUGAAAUGAAAUAAAAUAAGGACAUUUCAUCUUUUUUAUUAUCUUUCCACCCCUAAGAAACUGUAUUGCAAGUAGUCAUGUUUAAAAUCAUUUUCCUAUUCCCUGGCUUAUUUUGAGAAGCCUUAGGAGGUAAUCCUAAACUGGUUAUCAAACAAUGCAAACAUCUUUUAAAUAUUGAGUCAUGGGUACACUGAAUAGUUUUAUUAAUAGUACUGAAAUAAUGUAAC